This 27-nucleotide non-coding RNA is filed under the name Bombyx mori (domestic silkworm). The record is from RNAcentral. Lineage: Eukaryota; Metazoa; Arthropoda; Insecta; Lepidoptera; Bombycidae.
UAAGAUAAAUGGUUUGUCGAAGUCUGG